GCCACUCUCUGAUAGGCCCUUUUCCGUGUC
This 30-nucleotide non-coding RNA is filed under the name Rattus norvegicus (Norway rat). The record is from RNAcentral. Lineage: Eukaryota; Metazoa; Chordata; Mammalia; Rodentia; Muridae.